GCUGGGCAUGGUGGUGCACGCCUGUAAUCCCAGCUACUCAGGAGGCUGAGGCAGAAGAAUCGCUUGAACCCAGGAGGCAGAGGUUGCAGUGAGCUGAGAUUGCGCCAAUGCAAUCCAGCCUGGGUGACAGAGUGAGACUCUGCCUCAA
Molecule: unclassified non-coding RNA, 148 nt
Organism: Callithrix jacchus (white-tufted-ear marmoset)
Lineage: Eukaryota; Metazoa; Chordata; Mammalia; Primates; Cebidae
Rfam family: Metazoan signal recognition particle RNA
About the family: The signal recognition particle (SRP) is a universally conserved ribonucleoprotein.
Source: Ensembl